GUCCCCUUUGGCUUUCCUCCUGAAGCACAGAAGCAUUUGAACAGAGCACACCAGGUACAAAGACUUCAACACAAAGAGCGUAACAAGAUCUAGCAGAGGUACAGAAGCAACAGUACAUCAGUGGAGUACAAGUGCAGAGCUUCCUCUACAGAAAGUUGGUUUAAUGGUUACUGAAAAUAAAAAACAGUUGAUUGACAUAAUCUGUACAGAACUCAUUUAGGAUAAGAAGUUUCACCAACGACACACAUUAAAGCUAGUCAUCACAGGCAGAGGCAACAUCCCAACUGAAAAAAACCAGUGAGGUG
RNAcentral lists this long non-coding RNA (305 nucleotides) under Chrysemys picta bellii (western painted turtle). Its description in RNAcentral is "lncRNA (ENSCPBG00000017016.1)". The record is from RNAcentral. Lineage: Eukaryota; Metazoa; Chordata; Testudines; Emydidae.